Monodelphis domestica (gray short-tailed opossum) is the source of this 522-nucleotide long non-coding RNA. RefSeq lists it as uncharacterized. Lineage: Eukaryota; Metazoa; Chordata; Mammalia; Didelphimorphia; Didelphidae. The record is from RefSeq and is a predicted model, not a curated record.
UAUUUCACAGUCCCCUGGUCAAAACUGACGUGUAGCAAGAAGAGCUCCUGCAUUAUAAAAGAUGCCUACUUUCAUCUUCUGUCCAGCUUAACAGAAGAUUUACACCUGGAAAGAUCUGUCUGGUCAGAGUAGAAUGAAGCUGGCCAAUAAAUGGAAAAGGAAAUGGCAAAUCCCUCUAGCAUCUUUGCCAAGAAAAUCCCAAAUGGGAUUACAAAAGAGUCUUAAACACUGAAAAACAACUGAAUUAACAACUGGCCAAUAAAAGCAAAGAAAUCAGUGGAGCUCCUGAGCUGUGUGCUGAAGUGAAUUCAGACUCCUGAGUGGCUGAGAUCUGAGCUUGCAUUCCUAGAUACUUCAGAGACAAGACUUCCCAAGAGGUGAAACAGAGCCUUCUCUCCAAGUCUGAGCUGAGAUCCUAGCUCAUUCUCAGCUGAAGAACUCAUUCACUGUUGGAGAAAUUCUUUGGUACAUUUUAAUCUAUUUCAUUUCUGGAGUUUUGCUAUUUUGCUUGAAUAAAUGACU